This 17-nucleotide non-coding RNA is filed under the name Drosophila melanogaster (fruit fly). Lineage: Eukaryota; Metazoa; Arthropoda; Insecta; Diptera; Drosophilidae. The record is from RNAcentral.
AGCUUCAUCCAAGCGAA